This is a long non-coding RNA of Topomyia yanbarensis, 2055 nucleotides long. RefSeq lists it as uncharacterized. The record is from RefSeq and is a predicted model, not a curated record. The transcript is spliced from 4 exons. NCBI's taxonomy places the organism in Eukaryota, Metazoa, Arthropoda, Insecta, Diptera, Culicidae.
ACAACCCGGAGAAACUGAUUCAAUUACAAGAAAAAUAUCACUGCUCGUAGUGCACUUUUAUAGAGCAAAGGUGAACCUGUUUUUUGUUAAUUUUUCAGUGUCAUGACUAAGCUCAGAUGCCAUGCGGAGGGAAUUGCAUUUACAGUGCUCUUUUCAGGUGUCGUGAAGGAAAGGAUGAAGAGCUGUAACUGAACACCAAAAAGCGAUGAUGCGUUGCAAAUAGUUAAGUAUUCACUAAGAUAUGAUUUGUCGUCGCUAAAAGCAUGCUCAUUCCGCCUUGUUUGUGUGAUAGACGGUUAAACAUUCAAACAACUGAGAUGCCCAUUACUUUGAAUCCAAUUGAAUUAGGCCAAUUUUGAAAAUUACAAACAGUGCCAAGAAAAUUAUGUUCUUAUAACGAGUAGACAUUAUCUAUGCAUGUUUGAUAGAAAUGGAGGAAGAGGCCACACAUUAAUAUGCAAAGUCGAUAUAUGCCAUAAAUUAAUUAUUGCCAAAAAGUUGCCAGAUUUCCAACAAGUGCUUGUUUGUCACAAUCUGUACAAAAAUAUCAUCGCACGAGCUCGUCAAAAAAAACUGACCUACUUGAUCCCACUCCAGGCAAGGGGUGGGUUUUGGGGGUUCACCUUCCUGUUUAGGAAGCCGUUUUGACACAUAACAAGUCAUCUGAGUUCAGUUACUUUAGAAACGAGUUGUUGAAGAAACCUUUCGAGGGUGGCUGAAAAGGAGUUUAUGUAAAGUAUGUCAGCGGGCUAGCAACGGGAGCUAAGGAGUAAAACACAAAAUCGUAGAAAAUCGGGAUAUCGUUGACUGGAGAAAUUUAACCGUCGAUGAUCUCUCCAAUGGUUCCCGAAAAUGGGCAUCGGUAUCGGGAGAAAUGCGGCCACCAAGAAACUCUCAGGAACAGCUACCAGAUAUAUUAGCGCCAAGAAGGAUAAGAAAUCUUCGGUUUUAAAAGCAAUGUAAAUUAUUAUGGUCGACACCUCCGGAUCGAUUCAGGUCUCAACAAGUGACGAUAUUUGAAGCAGACCUGAGCAGAUCAGAUACAGCGCGAAGGCUGGCCAGCAAGCACAAAAGCAGCAAUGGAAAAAACGAUUAACACAAAUUAAAAAGGGGAGAAAUUGUAUCUAACGGUUGCCCCGGAGAGAUGAGGAUUUCGAGAUACAAGUGAUUUAGAUUUAGUCCGUAGACUCAAGGACAUUAUACAAGGAAGCCAGGCUACCCCACUUCCUCUCACCUUCUCCUGCCUAACCAUGCAUCAAAAGUGAUUUGCUAGAUUGCCACCAAACCGCUACUCAAGGAAGAUAGAACGUUCCACUACCGAUUGCAAUCGAGUUGUUGGCAAAAUAAUAACUAUAGCACUUGAUUUGUGCAAAAGUAUUACUUGGAGUUUCUUCUUGAAUUCAUAUUAUUACUCUCACUUUUACUACACUUUUUCAAACACACUUUUUUCACAUUUCGCGUCAAAAAGCACUAACGAAACUUUAAUCGAUUAACUGGAAACUUUCUAAACGCCGGAAAACUCGUAUUUGUGCGUUUAAAUUUUUACUUCGGUUUUUAAUUUUCCGCAAUGUAAACAAUAUCGCGACGAUCACUAGUAUUGGUAGAACCCACCAACUGUGGUGCCUUAAAUGAUUUAAAGAAAUUGUUUAAAAUGUCCUCUAGAUAUGUUUAUUUUAACUCAUGGUGCAUUUGUUAACCAAUUCCAACAAAGCAACAUUUCUUUAUUUUCGACGUAGUUAUGAAAUAAAUGUUUGUACUGAAAUAAUAACGCAAGUUUUGAUAAUAUUAAUAAAACUUGCGCUCCAAGACACCCGCAACACUGUAACAAGUAUUGCAAUCAAACGAAAUGCCUCUAUCGACGAAAAAGAAGUGCUAUCGUCCGCGAAAUUCGAAAGAAAUCGAUACUAGAGCAGAUAUCGAAGGAUGUUCCGGAUUCGGGAGAUACACGGAAAUCGUGGCAGCCGGUGUCUGGAAACAAGAUGUCAUCCACUGGGUUCUUGAUCCCAUAUCUUUAGAAGGGACGAAAUUAGGGGUCGCUCGCUUGUUAAUUGAUUU